CCUACGGGAGGCAGCAGUGAGGAAUAUUGGUCAAUGGCCGGAAGGCUGAACCAGCCAUGCCGCGUGAAGGUCAGUGCCCUAUGGGCGUUAAACUUCUUUUGUGCGGGAGCAAUAAUGGUCACGUGUGGCCAGACGAGAGUACCGUACGAAUAAGCAUCGGCUAACUCCGUGCCAGCAGCCGCGGUAAUACGGAGGAUCCGAGCGUUAUCCGGAUUUAUUGGGUUUAAAGGGAGCGUAGAUGGGUUGUUAAGUCAGUUGUGAAAUUUUGCGGCUCAACCGUAAAAUUGCAAUUGAUACUGGCAGCCUUGAGGACAGUUGAGGUAGGCGGAAUUCGUGGUGUAGCGGUGAAAUGCUUAGAUAUCACGAAGAACUCCGAUUGCGAAGGCAGCUUGCUAAACUGCCACUGACAUUGAUGCUCGAAAGUGUGGGUAUCAAACAGGAUUAGAUACCCGAGUAGUC
Molecule: ribosomal RNA, 459 nt
Filed under: uncultured bacterium
Lineage: Bacteria
Description: partial 16S ribosomal RNA
Rfam family: Bacterial small subunit ribosomal RNA
Source: RNAcentral